UACGUAGGUGGCAAGCGUUGUCCGGAUUUAUUGGGUUUAAAGGGUGCGUAGGCGGUCUAUUAAGUCAGUUGUGAAAUACGGCAGCUCAACUAUCGAGGUGCAAUUGAUACUGAUGGACUUGAGUACUGAUGAGGUAAGCGGAAUGGACGGUGUAGCGGUGAAAUGCUUAGAUAUCGUCCAGAACACCGAUAGCGAAGGCAGCUUACUAAGGAGUAACUGACGCUGAGGCACGAAAGUGUGGGGAUCAAACAGG
Molecule: ribosomal RNA, 253 nt
Filed under: uncultured bacterium
Lineage: Bacteria
Description: partial 16S ribosomal RNA
Rfam family: Bacterial small subunit ribosomal RNA
Source: RNAcentral